Molecule: ribosomal RNA, 486 nt
Filed under: uncultured Propionibacterium sp.
Lineage: Bacteria; Bacillati; Actinomycetota; Actinomycetes; Propionibacteriales; Propionibacteriaceae
Description: bacterial SSU rRNA
Rfam family: Bacterial small subunit ribosomal RNA
Source: RNAcentral
AGAGUUUGACUCCUGGCUACAGGAGAACGCUGGCGGCGUGCUUAACACAUGCAAGUCGACGGAAAGGCCCUGCUUUUGUGGGUGCUCGAGUGGCAACGGGUGAGUAACACGUGGGUAACCUGCCCUUGACUUUGGGAUAACUUCAGGAAACUGGGGCUAAUACCGGAUAGGAGCUCCUGCUGCAUGGUGGGGGUUGGAAAGUUUCGGCGGUUGGGGAUGGACUCGCGGCUUAUCAGCUUGUUGGUGGGGUAGUGGCUUACCAAGGCUUUGACGGGUAGCCGGCCUGAGAGGGUGACCGGCCACAUUGGGACUGAGAUAUGGCCCAGACUCCUACGGGAGGCAGCAGUGGGGAAUAUUGCACAAUGGGCGGAAGCCUGAUGCAGCAACGCCGCGUGCGGGAUGACGGCCUUCGGGUUGUAAACCGCUUUCGCCUGUGACGAAGCGUGAGUGACGGUAAUGGGUAAAGAAGCACCGGCUAACUACGUG